AUGCAAGUUAUCGUAUCUACUUGUGCUGAUGGAGCAUCAGAUACUUAUUGCAGAAAGUUAAAUUUGUUCAAGAUUUUUGUCAUAUUUUUCUUCCAAUCUUUGCUUUGGAAACAUUUCUUUUGAGCCGAGGGUCUAUUGGAAACAACCUUUGUACCCACAAAGGUUGGGGUAAGGUAUGCAUACCCUCUCCAAAUCCUACCUGUGGUAUUACACUGGGUAGGUUGUUGAUACAUAUUUGUGGGAUGGUUAAGGACAUGGAUACUUUAAACAGAUUGUCACAUGUUAAAGGCUUGGAACACUAACCAUGCGCAUACGGCAUUUUUCAUUUGCUUCAUGCAUGACGAAGAUGACGAUUCUUGAAGUCUUGGUCAUGAUGUAAAAUGGGUAUCCUUCAAAUUUCUGUGGUCAUUGGUCAUGAAGUUUCUUAUAUAAGCUGGUGAGUAUUGCUUCUGGAGUAUGAUGUACCUAAUGUUGGUGCUCAGUGUCAAGCUUGUGAAGCUGAGCAUUUUAGUACAAGCUAGAUCAGACACAUCAGUUGCAUUUUCACAGUGGUGUGGCAAGGCUGUACCUGAUUGCUUCAUAGAGUGCAAAAUAGGAAGCUCUGAAGCUACUUGGAUGAGGCAUAUGUUCUUGAAGAUCAUGUUCACGACCACUUAAGCAGCUCAGGAGCACCUGUUCUUUGGAAAAUCUAGUUGGGGUUAAUUAUUUGCUUUAACGAAGCUCUAUUUUAUUACUAGGCUUCUACU
Solanum verrucosum is the source of this 746-nucleotide long non-coding RNA. RefSeq lists it as uncharacterized. The record is from RefSeq and is a predicted model, not a curated record. Lineage: Eukaryota; Viridiplantae; Streptophyta; Magnoliopsida; Solanales; Solanaceae. The transcript is spliced from 3 exons.